GUUAAGCGACUAAGCGUACACGGUGGAUGCCCUGGCAGUCAGAGGCGAUGAAGGGCGUGCUAAUCUGCGAUAAGCGCCGGUAAGGUGAUAUGAACCGUUAUAACCGGCGAUACCCGAAUGGGGAAACCCAGUGUGAUUCGUCACACUAUCAUUAACUGAAUCCAUAGGUUAAUGAGGCGAACCGGGGGAACUGAAACAUCUAAGUACCCCGAGGAAAAGAAAUCAACCGAGAUUCCCCCAGUAGCGGCGAGCGAACGGGGAGGAGCCCAGAGCCUGAAUCAGCAUGUGUGUUAGUGGAAGCGUCUGGAAAGGCGCGCGAUACAGGGUGACAGCCCCGUACACAAAAGCGCAUGUGCUGUGAGCUCGAUGAGUAGGGCGGGACACGUGGUAUCCUGUCUGAAUAUGGGGGGACCAUCCUCCAAGGCUAAAUACUCCUGACUGACCGAUAGUGAACCAGUACCGUGAGGGAAAGGCGAAAAGAACCCCGGCGAGGGGAGUGAAAAAGAACCUGAAACCGUGUACGUACAAGCAGUGGGAGCCCCACCACUAAGCCAGUGGUGAACUCCACAUCCGCAUCCUUUGCUGAGGAUACGGUUAACGGAGCGAAAGCGACGUUCAACCGCAAAACAAGCAGAGGGGGCUUAGUGGUGGGGUGACUGCGUACCUUUUGUAUAAUGGGUCAGCGACUUAUAUUCUGUAGCAAGGUUAACCGUAUAGGGGAGCCGGAGGGAAACCGAGUCUUAACCGGGCGUUAAGUUGCAGGGUAUAGACCCGAAACCCGGUGAUCUAGCCAUGGGCAGGUUGAAGGUUGGGUAACACUAACUGGAGGACCGAACCGACUAAUGUUGAAAAAUUAGCGGAUGACCUGUGGCUGGGGGUGAAAGGCCAAUCAAACCGGGAGAUAGCUGGUUCUCCCCGAAAGCUAUUUAGGUAGCGCCUCGUGAAUUCAUCUCCGGGGGUAGAGCACUGUUUCGGCUAGGGGGCCAUCCCGGCUUACCAACCCGAUGCAAACUGCGAAUACCGGAGAAUGUUAUCACGGGAGACACACGGCGGGUGCUAACGUCCGUCGUGAAGAGGGAAACAACCCAGACCGCCAGCUAAGGUCCCAAAGUCAUGGUUAAGUGGGAAACGAUGUGGGAAGGCCCAGACAGCCAGGAUGUUGGCUUAGAAGCAGCCAUCAUUUAAAGAAAGCGUAAUAGCUCACUGGUCGAGUCGGCCUGCGCGGAAGAUGUAACGGGGCUAAACCAUGCACCGAAGCUGCGGCAGCGAACGUAUCACCCAAGACAACUUUACGGAGUUGACGAUUGACGGAGCGAAGCGACGUCAAAGCGUUCAUUAAAGUCGAGUUGGCUUAGGGAUACGUUCGUUGGGUAGGGGAGCGUUCUGUAAGCCUGUGAAGGUGUGUCGUGAGGCAUGCUGGAGGUAUCAGAAGUGCGAAUGCUGACAUAAGUAACGAUAAAGCGGGUGAAAAGCCCGCUCGCCGGAAGACCAAGGGUUCCUGUCCAACGUUAAUCGGGGCAGGGUGAGUCGACCCCUAAGGCGAGGCCGAAAGGCGUAGUCGAUGGGAAACGGGUUAAUAUUCCCGUACUUGGUGUUACUGCGAAGGGGGGACGGAGAAGGCUAUGUUGGCCGGGCGACGGUUGUCCCGGUUUAAGCGUGUAGGUGUGUGUUCCAGGUAAAUCCGGUUCACUUUAACACUGAGGCGUGACGACGAGGCACUACGGUGCUGAAGCAACAAAUGCCCUGCUUCCAGGAAAA
Molecule: ribosomal RNA, 1758 nt
Filed under: Salmonella enterica subsp. enterica serovar Typhimurium
Lineage: Bacteria; Pseudomonadati; Pseudomonadota; Gammaproteobacteria; Enterobacterales; Enterobacteriaceae
Description: partial 23S ribosomal RNA
Rfam family: Bacterial large subunit ribosomal RNA
Source: RNAcentral